UCAAGACAUAAAAUUUAUUUAAAUAAUAAGGGCCACUGCCCAAAACUUAAAGAACAUGGCGGUGUCUUAUAAAUUCAGGGGAACCUGUUCCUUAAUUUGAUAAUCCACAAACCACCCAACCAAAUUUUACUAAGCCUGUAUACUGCUGUCGCCAGCAAGCUUAAAUUUAAGCUUGCACUACAUAAUACGUCAAGUCAAAGUGCAGUAAAUAAUAUGGAGAGAAAUGGGUUACAACCUAAAUAUAGAUACUUAAAACAUAAAUAAACUUAGGUGGACUUGAUAGUAAUAUAAAAAACUAUAAAUAUUUAUCUAAGACAUGUACACAUCGCCCGUCACUCCCAUAAAAAUG
RNAcentral lists this ribosomal RNA (349 nucleotides) under Marionina sp. B LM-2012. RNAcentral describes it as "partial 12S ribosomal RNA". Lineage: Eukaryota; Metazoa; Annelida; Clitellata; Enchytraeida; Enchytraeidae. The record is from RNAcentral.